UGGAUCCAGACUUUGAUCAUGGCUCAGGAUGAACGCUGGCUACAGGCUUAACACAUGCAAGUCGAGGGGAAACGACAUCGAAAGCUUGCUUUUGAUGGGCGUCGACCGGCGCACGGGUGAGUAACGUGUAUCCAACCUGCCCAUCACUUGGGAAUAACCUUGCGAAAGUAAGACUAAUACUCAAUGAUAUCCCACGAAGGCAUCCGAAUGGGAUUAAAGAUUUAUCGGUGAUGGAUGGGGAUGCGUCUGGUUAGCUUGUUGGCGGGGUAACGGCCCACCAAGGCAACGAUCAGUAGGGGUUCUGAGAGGAAGGUCCCCCACAUUGGAACUGAGACACGGUCCAAACUCCUACGGGAGGCAGCAGUGAGGAAUAUUGGUCAAUGGGCGAGAGCCUGAACCAGCCAAGUAGCGUGCAGGAAGACGGCCCUAUGGGUUGUAAACUGCUUUUAUAAGGGAAUAAAGUGAGUCUCGUGAGACUUUUUGCAUGUACCUUAUGAAUAAGGACCGGCUAAUUCCGUGCCAGCAGCCGCGGUAAUACGGAAGGUCCGGGCGUUAUCCGGAUUUAUUGGGUUUAAAGGGAGCGUAGGCCGGAGAUUAAGCGUGUUGUGAAAUGUAGAGGCUCAACCUCUGCACUGCAGCGCGAACUGGUCUUCUUGAGUACGCACAACGUGGGCGGAAUUCGUGGUGUAGCGGUGAAAUGCUUAGAUAUCACGAAGAACUCCGAUUGCGAAGGCAGCUCACGGGAGCGCAACUGACGCUGAAGCUCGAAAGUGCGGGUAUCGAACAGGAUUAGAUACCCUGGUAGUCCGCACGGUAAACGAUGGAUGCCCGCUGUUGGCCUGAAUAGGUCAGCGGCCAAGCGAGAGCAUUAAGCAUCCCACCUGGGGAGUACGCCGGCAACGGUGCAACUCAAAGGAAUUGACGGA
Molecule: ribosomal RNA, 926 nt
Filed under: uncultured bacterium
Lineage: Bacteria
Also listed under: 1 other name
Description: bacterial SSU rRNA
Rfam family: Bacterial small subunit ribosomal RNA
Source: RNAcentral